This 166-nucleotide microRNA precursor is filed under the name Oryza brachyantha (malo sina). Its description in RNAcentral is "MIR812 microRNA precursor family". It matches the Rfam family "MIR812 microRNA precursor family", at positions 27 to 190 of the family's 205-position model. The record is from Rfam by way of RNAcentral. Lineage: Eukaryota; Viridiplantae; Streptophyta; Magnoliopsida; Poales; Poaceae.
UAUAAUAUUUUGACUUUCGUCUUAUUUAAAAAUUUUUUGUGAUUAAUAUUUCUAUUCUAACUAGAUGAUAAAAUACAAAUAGUAUUUUACGCGUGACUAAUUUUUUUAAUUUUUUGUGCACAUUUUUUAAAUAAGACGAAUGAUCAAACAUUAGACACGAAAAAAC